Cyprinus carpio (common carp) is the source of this 648-nucleotide long non-coding RNA. RefSeq lists it as uncharacterized. The transcript has 3 exons. Lineage: Eukaryota; Metazoa; Chordata; Actinopteri; Cypriniformes; Cyprinidae. The record is from RefSeq and is a predicted model, not a curated record.
GAUUAAAUCUCACACUCAAGCUUCAACUGAGGCCUGGUUAGGAGGCUAUGACGCUGUUUCAGAGGGAACAUGGCUCUGGAGUGAUGGAUCAAAACUGAAUAUAGAGAUAUGGGCUCCUGAACAACCUGACAAUUACAACGGAAACGAGAACUGUCUUGUGAUGAACUAUCAACCCUCGAGCAACUGGAAUGACAACCCCUGUUAUGAUAAAUGGCCUUUUGUGUGUGUGAAGAAAUAAACACCAGCAUUUCAGUUUCAUGUUAAAUUCUGAAUGUCUUGCAUUAAAGGAAUAGUUGACCAAAAAAAUACAAUAUUUAAAACCAUCGCUUACCCUCAGUCAAUCUAAGAUAAAGAUUAGUUCUUCAUCAGAACGGAUCUGAAGAAAUAUAACUCUACAUCAUUUGCUUAUUGAUGGAGAUCAUCUGCAGUGAAUGGGUGCCAUCAGAAUGAGAGCCAAACAGCUGAUAAUGAAGACAUCACAAUAAUCCACACGACUCCAGUCCAUCAUUCAAUGUCUUGUGAAGUGAAAGGCUGCAAAGUUUGUAAUCAAUUUUUCAUUCUUUGGUCAACUGCUCCUUUAACUAAUUCUCUCUGAUUUCUUUACUAAUGUGCAAGUAGAACUCAAUAAAUAUCAAGCAGUGCAUUUAA